This is a long non-coding RNA of Lycium barbarum (goji berry), 912 nucleotides long. RefSeq lists it as uncharacterized. The record is from RefSeq and is a predicted model, not a curated record. Lineage: Eukaryota; Viridiplantae; Streptophyta; Magnoliopsida; Solanales; Solanaceae. The transcript is spliced from 2 exons.
AAGAGAACGAAAAACAAAACCUUAUUCCCACGCUCCAAACCAUGCGAACCCAACUGUAUUUUGCCAUUUUUGGCCAAAUUGCAGAAGCUUUUUAAGUUUCCAGAUUUUGCUUUGCCAUUUCAGGCAAAGUUUUUAUUGUCCUAGUCUUUAUCUUCAGAAGAAAACGGUAACAUACUGCUUUCUUCUUUUUCUUUGCAAUUUUGUGGGAUUUCAAAGGUUUCUAUACGAAUUUGAGUUAGGAUUUGGAUCCCAAGGCUAUUUUCUGAAAGUCCCACAUCAUUUGAAGUUAAAAAAUUGGGACUUUUGGUUCUCCUAUAAAUAGGACCCUCUCCCCUUUACUUUAAGAGAAUUCAGAGGCCAAAAAAUUGGUCUUUUACACCUCAAAUGGGUUUUUGACAAUCCCAAGAGUGAGAACACUUAGAAACCCGGCUAAGCCAUUGAGUUUCAAGGAAGUUCUUGCUCAAGUUUAAUUUUUGGAAAUCGUUUCCGCUCGUCGGAAGUCGAUUCAGGUGAAUAGUGAUUGAUUCAACGUUUGUCGCCCCCGUCGCUGCUGGAAAAAAAGGAACCAAUAUGACAAGCACGGAAAGCAAAAGUUCGAGGACACGAUAAAAGGAUUGGAUGCUUGGAGCUUCGGAUGAAAGAUUAGAAGGGUAUAGAAGAAACAGAACAAGGUUGCCGAAUGAUUUGGGCCCAAGGCCUUAAAAGCUAAACUUUCUUUCCUUUCCUUUAGUAUAAGUUUUACAUUAUUUUCUGUAUGAUAUGCAAAUACACAUUUGUAUAGAUAUUGAAACCCCUACAGGUUAGAACCUGGAUUUGGAUAGACGAUGUUUCAAAACUAUAUCCAAAUGAUAAAGGAGUUGUAUUCAACUUGAUUAAAAUAAAUAAGAGUGAAAGUAUAUUUUUCUUGCAAAA